UAUGCUCGGAAGCAUUCUCUCCCUCCCCGCAGCCACGUUUUAAAAGUCAUUAUUAACCCGUUAGGUUUUAGUUGAAGUCCAGAAAAUAAAGGAUGGAAAGGCAGAAAAAUAAAUUGAUUAUUUAGCUUGAUGUUGUCUUUUCUGUUUGGCUAGCUUUAGCUGUGAGGAGAGGAAAAAAUUGGUAUCGUUGGGUGCAUAACGUUCCUCCAUUUAAAAAAAAAAACCUAAAACUUUUCUGAUGAAAGUGGAAAAGAAGUCCACUUUAUCCUUAUAUCAAAUUUCACCAGAAAAUCUGUACCUUGAUAGAAAUUGUACUCUGCGUGUGCUCUGUGGCAUGCUAUGCUUAGUCUUUUAAAAAUAGGCUUUACUUAAUAGAUUAGUUCCAGACAUUCUACUUCAAACUUAUCUUCAAAUCUAGCUGGAAGAUUGCUGAGCCAGAAAACAAGAUCUGCAAGUCUUGAUCUCUUGGGAUCACAUUCUCCAUGGCAUGAAACACAGGCAGUGACUUGGGCUGGCCAGCCACCUCUAACUGCAUGAAGUGGCUUCUCUACAAAAGAUGGUAGGGAAACUCAAGAAGAACCUCUUGGUGGUCUGCCUGGUGAUUAGUUCAGUGACUGUCUUCUACUUGGGGCAACAUGCUAUGGAAUGCCAUCACCAAGUAGAGGAGCGAAGCCAACUGUCCCGACUGGAGCCAGCCAAAGCAACCCUAAGAACCAGCCACAGCAUGAAGGAAAAUGCCACGCUGGCUUAUAACAAAGACAUGCCUUUAAUAUUUAUUGGGGGAGUACCCCGGAGUGGUACAACCUUGAUGCGGGCGAUGCUAGAUGCUCACCCGGACAUCCGCUGUGGAGAAGAGACACGGGUCAUCCCUCGAAUUUUGGCCAUCAAGCAGAUGUGGGCCCGAUCAAGCAAAGAGAAAAUGCGGCUCAAUGAAGCGGGUGUCACUGACGAGGUGUUGGACUCAGCCAUGCAGGCCUUCCUCUUGGAAAUUAUCGUGAAGCAUGGAGAGCCAGCGCCUUACCUGUGCAACAAGGACCCCUUUGCCCUCAAGUCUUUAACUUACCUGGCCAGGAUUUUCCCCAAUGCCAAGUUUAUUUUAAUGGUCAGAGAUGGCCGAGCCUCCGUUCAUUCCAUGAUCUCCAGGAAGGUCACCAUUGCUGGCUUUGAUCUGAGUAGCUACAGGGAUUGCCUGACCAAAUGGAACCGUGCCAUUGAGAUCAUGUACAACCAGUGCUUGGAGGCUGGCCUUGACCGUUGCAUGAUGAUGUAUUAUGAGCAGCUGGUCUUGCACCCCGAGCAGUGGCUCAGGACGCUCCUCAAGUUCCUCCACAUCCCAUGGAAUCCUGCAGUUUUGCAUCACGAAGAAAUGAUUGGGAAAGCUGGGGGAGUGUCCCUAUCAAAAGUUGAAAGAUCUACCGACCAAGUUAUUAAGCCAGUUAAUGUGGAAGCCUUGUCAAAAUGGGUUGGAAACAUCCCCUCAGACGUCCUACAUGAUAUGCCAGUGAUCGCACCGAUGUUGGGGAAGCUUGGCUACGACCCCUAUGGCAACCCACCAAAUUAUGGGAAACCGGAUCAGAAAGUCCUUGAAAACACAAGAAGGGUUUAUAAAGGUGAAUUUCAGCUUCCGGACUUCCUAAAAGAAGUGCCACAGCUAAGGAAGACAGUAGAAAGGAAAUCCCAUAUCCAGCUAAAGUGAAGAAGGAGUUGAUAAAGUAGAGUAACUGAUGCGGUGAACUAGAAGAGUGGCUGUGACUUAACGAAUGUUGGAGUCGUUUUAAAGAAAGCACGAUGGCAAAAUCUACAAAAAUCUGUUUCCUCAGAAUAUGUCCCCAUUUCAUAAUGACAUGUAAACGUCUAUCUUCCUUCUGAGAGUAGCUGUACUGAAAUGCUGGAGAUGUUUGUAGGGAAUGGUUCUGGGAACAAGGCAUUAAAGUGGGAGGACUCCAGGUGGGAAUAUCUCCUGUAUAAAACAUUUUGGAGUUGUGAGAGUCGUGCAGUUAUGGUGUGCCUAUUAAUCUCUGUGACACUAAU
Molecule: RNA transcript, 2031 nt
Organism: Thamnophis elegans (Western terrestrial garter snake)
Lineage: Eukaryota; Metazoa; Chordata; Lepidosauria; Squamata; Natricidae
Gene: TPST1
Gene name: tyrosylprotein sulfotransferase 1
Exons: 7
Source: RefSeq, a predicted model, not a curated record